AGCUUUGCGCAGUGGCAGUAUCGUAGCCAAUGAGGUUUAUCCGAGGCGCGAUUAUUGCUAAUUGAAAAAAAUAAAAGGAGGAAGAAUAGUCCAACCAGUUAAUCCCAAGGCUGCUGUCCCAUCUGUGCACCCCACUCUAGUCA
Molecule: small nuclear RNA, 143 nt
Organism: Mustela erminea (ermine)
Lineage: Eukaryota; Metazoa; Chordata; Mammalia; Carnivora; Mustelidae
Product: U4 spliceosomal RNA
Exons: 1
Source: RefSeq, a predicted model, not a curated record